RNAcentral lists this ribosomal RNA (447 nucleotides) under uncultured Desulfobacca sp. RNAcentral describes it as "bacterial SSU rRNA". It matches the Rfam family "Bacterial small subunit ribosomal RNA", at positions 936 to 1382 of the family's 1533-position model. The record is from RNAcentral. Lineage: Bacteria; Pseudomonadati; Thermodesulfobacteriota; Desulfobaccia; Desulfobaccales; Desulfobaccaceae.
AGCAUGUGGUUUAAUUCGACGCAACGCGAAGAACCUUACCUGGGCUUGACAUCUGGGGAAUCUCAUGGAAACAUGGGAGUGCGGAGCAAUCUGAACCCCAAGACAGGUGCUGCAUGGCUGUCGUCAGCUCGUGUCGUGAGAUGUUGGGUUAAGUCCCGCAACGAGCGCAACCCUUGUCUCUAGUUGCCACCAUUCAGUUGGGCACUCUAGAGAGACUGCCGGUGAUAAACCGGAGGAAGGUGGGGCGACGUCAAGUCCUCAUGGCCUUUAUGCCCAGGGCUACACACGUGCUACAAUGGCUGGUACAAAGAGACGCAAGACCGCGAGGUGGAGCAAAUCUCAAAAACCAGUCCCAGUUCGGGUUGCAGGCUGCAACUCGCCUGCAUGAAGUCGGAGUUGCUAGUAAUCGCAGAUCAGAAUGCUGCGGUGAAUGCGUUCCCGGGUCUU